GCUAGGCAUAGCAGUGCAUGCCUGUAACCUUAGCUACUGGGGAGGCUAAGAUAGGAGGAUAGCAAAUUUGAGGCCAGCCUCAGCAACUUAGCAAGACCCUAUCUCAA
RNAcentral lists this small RNA (107 nucleotides) under Marmota monax (woodchuck). Lineage: Eukaryota; Metazoa; Chordata; Mammalia; Rodentia; Sciuridae. The record is from RNAcentral.